Molecule: ribosomal RNA, 454 nt
Filed under: uncultured bacterium
Lineage: Bacteria
Description: bacterial SSU rRNA
Rfam family: Bacterial small subunit ribosomal RNA
Source: RNAcentral
UACGGAAGGCAGCAGUGGGGAAUAUUGCACAAUGGGCGCAAGCCUGAUGCAGCCAUGCCGCGUGUAUGAAGAAGGCCUUCGGGUUGUAAAGUACUUUCAGUCGUGAGGAAGGUGUUAAGGUUAAUAACCUUAGCAAUUGACGUUAGCGACAGAAGAAGCACCGGCUAACUCCGUGCCAGCAGCCGCGGUAAUACGGAGGGUGCGAGCGUUAAUCGGAAUUACUGGGCGUAAAGGGCACGCAGGCGGUUAAUUAAGUUGGAUGUGAAAUCCCCGGGCUUAACCUGGGAAUGGUAUUCAAGCUGGUUAGCUAGAGUCUUGUAGAGGGGGUAGAAUUCCAUGUGUAGCGGUGAAAUGCGUAGAGAUGUGGAGGAAUACCGGUGGCGAAGGCGGCCCCUGGACAAAGGACUGACGCUCAUGUGCGAAAGCGUGGGGAGCAAAACAGGGAUUAGAUACC